Long non-coding RNA from Musca domestica (house fly), 2751 nucleotides. RefSeq lists it as uncharacterized. The transcript is spliced from 2 exons. Lineage: Eukaryota; Metazoa; Arthropoda; Insecta; Diptera; Muscidae. The record is from RefSeq and is a predicted model, not a curated record.
CCCUCAUCAAUGCUGAAAACUCCAACCUAUGCGAAAUAUGCAACACGCCAAACACGGAAAACCACCAGAUUUUUAUCUGCCCUAAAUACAAUAAUGACAGAAUGAAUUACAAUUUCUUUACAAAAUUUUCAAACUUACCUGCAGUACUCAAAAGUUUUGCCUGUGAAAACUUUCGUGAAUUGUGCGACUUCAUUCAUAAAAACCACAUACAGCUAUAACCCGGAAUCACAUCACUCAUAUCACAACACUACAAGAACAAAAGAAAUGGAAAACAACAAGGAACUCAAAAUAAUUAUCGAUAACUAACAAUCGACUACACAGCAAUGGUACAUGCAUACUACAGGUAUCGUACCAACCUCGUCGUGACGGCGUAAUCAAUAACCGAUUCCAAAAAAAAAAAAAAAAAAAACACAAACAAACAUAAAAUAAUAAUUCAAGUGAAUUCAACAACGUUUAACAAAAUAAUUAGGUAAAUAUGAAAUGAGAUCUUGUUUAUUUAAAAUGCUUUUAGUCAGAUCUUUUAAAAUAAUGCUUUAAAAACAAUAUGCAUUUUUAUAUAUAUUUAGUCAUAGGCCCAGUUGUGACUUUAGCAGAUGGUGCUUCAUCUAUAAUAGUAUUAUGCACUUGACGCAAAUGACAAAUAAGCGUAGAAGUGGAGGCACAUACAAUUUUGUAAUCUUUGGAACAUUUGUUGCAUUUUGUAUUGUUUCCAUCUUUUGGAAAAAGUUGCCCAAACAAACUCAUUCUUAAAGAAAAAACUAUUUUUAUUUGUAUCAUUUUUUGUAUGUCAUAUUAAAAACUUUGACAAUGUGGUUUGCUUAACAAAUGUUUAAAUUAAAUUUAUAUUUAUUUCAUAUAGAAAUUCUCACUUUUCUUCAAGUGAAUGUGCGUCAUGAAAUUUAACCAUAAAUUUAUAUGUAAACAAAACACAAACACUUGAUCAAAAAAUCAGAAAUCAAAAAUGUAUUAAAAUAUUUUAGAUCGAUUAAUCGGUUAAAAUUAAUCGAUUAUUCAAUAUUCGAAAUUUAGUAAUUUUUCUUCAUCGAAAAAUUAUUCGAAAAAAAAUUUUCCGAUUUAUUGAACAACGAUUAAUCGAUUGGACAUUCUAGUAAAGACACUAUAGUUUUUAUCAUAUAUAGUACCAUAAAAUUUUACAGAAAUCUUUGCAUUACAUCCAGAAUAUUUGCUACAGAAUAUGGGUCAUAUUGGUCCACUUUGAGGAAUAGACAGGAAGGAGCGUUUCGAUGCAAUAUUGACAAUAUUCUCCAGAUUAACAAAUAAGCCCCAAUAGUACAAAAAGGCCAAAGGAUCCUGACGCCAUGACCCAUGUUGGUACCAUUUCGUGUAUUGGGUUAAGGUCUACGGAUAGGCUUUGAUUCAUGAUGCUGGUUAGGAACGAAGGGAGUACUUGUACGCCAGAACUUGUCAUACUCCGAUACCUCUUAUUAUUGAUUGUCAAGGAUUCAUUUUCCAUUUGUAGAAUGAAGGAGACUUCAAGCUGCUGUUAAAGUUAUCCAGGAAUAGCGUCUUUAAGUAGUUCGACACUUGAAUCUGCACUUGUUACUGGGCGGCAAGCUGUUUACCAACCUUCAGGAGUCGUCGCAGGCAAUAUUUUUCUGGCAACUGAUUAAUCAUUUCCUUUUUACAUACCAUACCGUUGGUUAGAGAAUACAUUUGUCCUUACCACCAUAAAUUUUGGGUUUAUUCAUCAGUAUCGUCUUAUAAUCCAGGUCCAAUUUUUGAAAGUUUUCUAAAACUGGUAGUAUAAUCAGGUAGUUGAAUCUAGACUCUUCAACCUACGGCAACCACAAUACAUAGAGCAAUCGUGUGUCAAUCGUGAAUAUAGAAUCUUCUAAUAAGGUAAGGUUUUACCACUUUAUAAAUUGAUUACCAAAUCCCAUAAUAUAUAACUUUUUAUACCCUCCACCAUAGUAUGGAGGGUAUAUUAACAGCCUGUUCCACGAUCUCGAAAGAAAAUUUGUGCGAACGAAGGCUACUCACUCACUUUCGUAUAAGAAUGCGUUCCACUAACUUUUGUUCUUUCUUUCGCAUAGCCUUACGUGAUUCAGUGUUGCUAAAUAUUUUUUUUUGGAAAAAUUAAUCGCGAAAUAAGGCAAAAAAAGCGCCAAAUGUCUAAUUUAAACGCGAAAAAGCAGCAGUGGCUCUGUCUCAACUGACAUUUCAGUUGUAAACAAACAAAUUGUAAAUAAACAAACAAAAAAAAUUUCUAGUGAUUGUGUUCAAACUAUUUGUGCUCUUAGAAAAUAAAAAAAGGAAUAUUUCCGUAGCCCUAUUUUAUAUGGAUGAUGUGGAGGAGGUUCAAAAUGUGCCACGGAGGCAUUUAAGAGAUGCUUCGAAUUUAUUUGAAGUACCUAACAACCAGUUUGUGGCCAAUUUUCGUGUGUCGAAGGAAGUUUUCGGUUUUUUUUUGGAUAUGAUGGAAGAGAAGUGGGUGCCCGGUUGCAGAACUACCCAAAUCCGCCCCGAUUUAAAACUUCUGCUGCUUCCAAAAAUUGGCACUCCUCUGGCGAACACAGGAUUCUCCUCCAUAUACUCAACUAGUGCCCGCAGCUGUGUAGUUGAUGAUUUUUUCGUGCUGGAAUUGAGAAAAUAAAAAAAUAUAUAUUUGUUGUUCACAUAUUAAAUUGCAUUUAUUAUUUUUACUUACAUUUUUGUUUCCAUUUUCAAUCAAGCAAUGUUUAUGUUAAAAAAUUUUUCCUUAAUUGUUAUUAUACGAUAGCAAACACACAA